CGGAGCGUAGUUCAGUUGGCUAGAACGCACGGUUUGGGACCGUGAGGUCAUCGGUUCAAGUCCGAUCGCUCCGA
This 74-nucleotide transfer RNA is filed under the name Candidatus Dojkabacteria bacterium. RNAcentral's name for it is "tRNA-Pro". It matches the Rfam family "tRNA". Rfam says of the family: Transfer RNA (tRNA) molecules are approximately 80 nucleotides in length. Their secondary structure includes four short double-helical elements and three loops (D, anti-codon, and T loops). The record is from RNAcentral.